UACGAAGGGGGCUAGCGUUGUUCGGAAUUACUGGGCGUAAAGCGUGCGCAGGCGGCUUCUCAAGUCAGGGGUGAAAGCCCAGAGCUCAACUCUGGAAUUGCCUUUGAGACUGAGUGGCUUGAGUACGAGAGAGGUGAGUGGAAUUCCCAGUGUAGAGGUGAAAUUCGUAGAUAUUAGGAAGAACACCAGUGGCGAAGGCGGCUCACUGGUCCGGUACUGACGCUGAGGUGCGAAAGCGUGGGGAGCAAACAGG
Molecule: ribosomal RNA, 253 nt
Filed under: uncultured bacterium
Lineage: Bacteria
Description: partial 16S ribosomal RNA
Rfam family: Bacterial small subunit ribosomal RNA
Source: RNAcentral